UCUUUACAUUCAGGAAGGGUGCAGAGGGCUGGAUUUCUGGAGAAAGUACGAACGCAUUUCUUCCUUAGUUCCUCUUAACAUCAAGAACUUGAGUUUCAAGCUGUGCUAAAUGUUAGUUCUAUGUCUCCCUUGUCAAGGCUGGCCAGCUUAUCUGACUGAGAGGAAGGUUGUUGCAUUUGGAAACAGGACGUGCAGAUGUUUGCCAUCAGGACAAAGGCAUAAAGCACCAGCAGACGCAGUAAGGAGGGAAUAAAGGUUGAAAAGGUGAUGCAGGGGGAUUGCUGCCUCUUCAAAUGCCUGGGGAGAACUGGAGACUUCAUUCUUGACUAAUAAAGCAGCUGAAAAUCAAGAUCCACACUUUUAUUUCCUGGACGUUCCAAUCAUACGCACUGUAUCACAUUGCAGAUAAAGUUUGCUCACUUGCCACAGGCCUGAAGAAUAUCAGACUUUCCAUGAUUCUGAGCACCUCUGGGACUUCAAACCACAUUUGCAGAUGAAUACUGCGUGAUGCUGUCCAAAGCAAGUGAGAGGUCCUUGAGUGCGGAUUGCCUCAUCGGCUUCUGUUUCCAAUAUCAUCGAUAAACUUACAGCCCCAACUGUUACUCAUAAAAAAGAGAAACCCAAGAGAUGCUCAGAAUGUUGAAAAGUUUUAUUUUCUGCAGUUUCAUGAGGGCUGAGAAGGCUACAUCUGCUGUGUGAUAUGAUCAAAAGCUCCAGGACAAUAUCAUGACCAGACUUUAAGAGGAUUGUUUCGCAAACACCUAAAAGCAGCUUUUCAUCACUUUCACAGUUCGAAUAGUGCUUUUGAGAGUGCACACGUUUGUAUUUAUUUAAGUAGAGUUUGACAUCAAAUCAUCUCAUUGUGAAAAACCCCACCCACCUAACACUUGGUCGGUAAAAGCAAACACAUUUUGAAUCGUACUUGACCCUAGUCUGCAAAACAGUGUGCUGCCAGCUGAAAAGGCAAACAGCACCAGUGAAUGUAAAGAUCAAACUUGCCUGACUUUUAUUAGGUUUCCUCUUGAGUGGGUCUUAGCUGGAAAUACACUUAGAUCUAAAUGUGUGAUAUUUGUGCUGCACUCUAACUUUGACAUUUUUGUUCCAUUAGACGAUUCAUUUCUAUCCAAACUCCUUGAAUGCAGUUAAGUGUUUGAUAUGACGCUGAAAGAGAGCUUUGUUUUUUUUUCAUGUGUUGAUGUAUUUGGCUUUAGGCAUGUACUGAGACAUAGACUCAAUGAACAACAGCUUUUCUUUCAAGGGCAAAAACUUCUCCAGGAGUGAACACAGAAUAAACUCACUCAGACUGUUGGCCAGUUAUUACGUGACUCUAGACAUUUUACUGUAGAUUCAUCAUGACCCAGGGUGGCAAUGUGAUGCCAGCCUGGCUUAGAGCAAAGAAUAUUUACCUCAGUGAAUCCCUUUGUAUGCUUGUGUCAUAAAAAGUGAACCACAGUGAACUGCUUGUCCUGUGAAGACCAUGUUUUGUGGGUUAUGGCAGGUAAUGGGAGGGUAAUAGAAAUGCUGGGCAGAGCUAGAGGUUAGGGCAAGUGGGUAAUAGCACCCAGAUGUGUUCCUGAUGUGAGGCAACAGUCAGAAUGCUUUGCUAUGUAAAUUAAGAGAAGAUAUCCCAUUUUCCAUCUUUAUACUGAUGUUAUCUAGGUACGAGUCAAGCAAAUCAAGCUCGUGGCUUAGGCCAGAUUGGAACCCCAGCUCUGUGUUUGUUGACAAGGUUUAUUUGUAUUUGCACGUGUGUGUAGAGUAUUUUCCUGUGUGUUGACAGCUACUAGCUUGUACAUGUUAAAAUUGAUUCAUAUGAGCAUUCCUCUCUGACUUUCUAAAGCGCAGAGUUUUUAGAUCAUCCUUAAUCCAAAGCUCUAAAAAUAGACCCAUGAUCUCACUCUUUUCAUCGAUCUGGGCCACAAUCCAGCCGAACACCAACACCACAUACUGUAUCAAUUACAUGGACCCUACGGAUUAGUCAGUGACACAAAACACAUGUUUUCCCUUUCCAUGAUUGGGUCUGUAGAACUCUCUGUACUACCUAUGAACAUGGUGCAGUUCCAUUAGAUCUAGGAAGUCCAAAAGUGUUGUGAUAGCGCUGCACUUGUGUGGAGAAAGUCCUGGCAGUAUGGAUAUUUAAGAGACUCUGAGUCAGUAUCUUCUGCUGACCUUUAGAAGCAACCAGUAGUAAUUAAAAAAAAAAAAAAACAUCAUCAGCAUUGUCAUCUGCCGUGGUGCCUGUUGAAUCACAAUGGAAUCGUAUUGUUACAGCAGGGAUGACACGGUGAACUCCUCAAACCACAGGCCAUGUAGAAAUCUCUAAAAAAAGGUCAUGUCUCACUCUAGAAGAUACUCUUGAAUUAAUGCUUUGGCUUGUGUUGGCUAUGAACUUGCCUGGAGGAUUGGAGAGGUUUUGGACAAAAACGUGACCAAGAAGAAAUCUCAGCAUUGUUUUGGCAUAUGUGCUCAUCUUAUAGGACAUCAAAAAAUUAUAAAAGUGCUCAGUCUUUCCUUAUUGUUCACUGCUUUAUACUGCCUCCAUAUUGUGAUUAAGUAGUGCUGGAUCAACUACCUUUCACUAAUACUGUUUUGAACAACAGCUGCACCAAAAUACAUGGGGUGCCAAAGAGUUGAAACAAAACUGGUUCACUACUUACAUGCAUUAAAUACAUUUUAUGUGUGUUUCAGUA
Molecule: long non-coding RNA, 2690 nt
Organism: Acanthochromis polyacanthus (spiny chromis)
Lineage: Eukaryota; Metazoa; Chordata; Actinopteri; Pomacentridae
Exons: 3
Source: RefSeq, a predicted model, not a curated record